RNAcentral lists this long non-coding RNA (1219 nucleotides) under Homo sapiens (human). RNAcentral's name for it is "HSALNT0105301". Lineage: Eukaryota; Metazoa; Chordata; Mammalia; Primates; Hominidae. The record is from RNAcentral.
UGAGCAGCAAUCUGCCUUUAUUAACAAGGCGGGCGCCAGCUGGAGCGCGGGGCCCGGGAGAGAGGAGCUGCUGCAGCAGAGGCAGCUGCGGGGAGCUGCCCUCCUGGCCAGGGCAGCAGGUAAACAACAGAGGGCGCCUGGGCCUCAGAGCCCACCCACCCUCAGCCACUGCACCACCGGCCCCCUAGCUUGAUCCCCUCAUCUCUUCUGUUUCUUCCGUGCUGGAGGAAACAGAUGUGAUGACCAGAGGUGCAGCAGCCACCAUGUGACCAUGAGGAGGACAUGUAUAGCUAUGACAGAGCAGGAAAACAGAGAUCCCACGUCCCCAGGGACAUCUUUGAGCUACUGUAUCAGCUCAGGACUGCCUUCUCCCAGACUUCUUAUUGGACAAGCCAAAUAAACUCCUCCUUUGUUUAAGUCUCUCUGCAGGCAUUUCCUGUUACUUACUGCCUAAUAUGUUCCUAGCUGAUGAGAUUCAACCAUAAGCAGUUUGGCUCCAGAGCCCCUGAUCUUAGCAAUCUUGUCCUCCCUGUCACUGAGUUUGUAGAAGACAAAUUUGAAGGCUCUUCAUGCCAUAACUUAUUUUGAAAGACAUUUUUUAAGAGUAGUUUUAGGAUCACAUCGAAAGAAAAAGAUACAGAGAGUUCCUAUAUACCCCUGCCCCCUACAUUCACAGCCUCCCCAUUAUCAACCCCUGCACCAGAGUGGUACAUGUGCUACAAUCAAUGAACCUACAUUGACACAUCAUUAUCACCCAAAGUCAUAGAUUACACUAGGAUUCACUCUUGGUAAUAUACAUUUUAUGGGUUUGGAUGAAUGUACAAUGACAUGUAUCUACCACUGUGGUAUCAUAUAGAGUAUUUUUGCUACCCUAAAAAUCUGCUGUGCUCUGCCUAUUCCUCCCUCCCCCUCACCCCCUAAACCCUUGGCAACCCCUGAUCUUUUUAUCGUGUUCAUAGUUUUGCCUCUUCAGGGAUGUCACCUAGUUGGAAUCAUACAGUAUGUGGCCCUUUCAGAUUGGCUUCUUUCACUUAGUAAUAUGCAUUUAAGGUCCAUCCAUGUCUUUUUAUGUCUUCAUAGCUUAUUUCUUUUUAGCACAGAAUAAUAUUCCAUUGUCUGGAUGUACCACAGCUAUUUACCCUUCAUUUACUUAAGGGUAUGUUGGUUGCAUCCAAGUUUUGCAACUAUGAAUAAAGCUGCUAUAAAUAUCAUGUAUAAG